RNAcentral lists this small nucleolar RNA (167 nucleotides) under Salvator merianae (Argentine black and white tegu). Its description in RNAcentral is "Small Cajal body specific RNA 1 (ENSSMRG00000003511.1)". It matches the Rfam family "Small Cajal body specific RNA 1". From Rfam's summary of the family: scaRNAs are a specific class of small nuclear RNAs which localise to the Cajal bodies and guide the modification of RNA polymerase II transcribed spliceosomal RNAs U1, U2, U4, U5 and U12. ACA35 belong to the H/ACA box class of guide RNAs as it has the predicted hairpin-hinge-hairpin-tail structure, conserved H/ACA-box motifs and is found associated with GAR1. It is predicted to guide pseudouridylation of the U2 spliceosomal snRNA at residue U89. The record is from Rfam by way of RNAcentral. Lineage: Eukaryota; Metazoa; Chordata; Lepidosauria; Squamata; Teiidae.
AAGCACUUGAUACUAACCAAGCCAUCUCUGCCUUGGUUCUCAUCUUGAGUUCAGAGGUAUAACUGAUGAUCGGCUGGGUCUGAAAAGUGCAACAUCAAAACAAGCCAUGAAGUGUUAAAGCUCAGUGUGUGGAGAAACACACAGGGUUAUAACUCAGAGGCACAGAG